RNAcentral lists this ribosomal RNA (335 nucleotides) under uncultured Theileria sp. RNAcentral's name for it is "SSU rRNA". It matches the Rfam family "Eukaryotic small subunit ribosomal RNA", at positions 525 to 897 of the family's 1831-position model. The record is from RNAcentral. Lineage: Eukaryota; Apicomplexa; Aconoidasida; Piroplasmida; Theileriidae.
UUAAACCUCUUCCAGAGUAUCAAUUGGAGGGCAAGUCUGGUGCCAGCAGCCGCGGUAAUUCCAGCUCCAAUAGCGUAUAUUAAAAUUGUUGCAGUUAAAAAGCUCGUAGUUGAAUUUCUGCUGCAUUACAUAUCUCUUGUUUGAGUUUGUUUUUGUGGCUUAUUUCGGUUUGAUUUUUUCUUUCCGGAUGAUUACUUUGAGAAAAUUAGAGUGCUCAAAGCAGGCUUUUGCCUUGAAUAGUUUAUCAUGGAAUAAUAAAGUAGGACUUUGGUUCUAUUUUGUUGGUUUUAGGUACCAAAGUAAUGGUUAAUAGGAACAGUUGGGGGCAUUCGUAU